AUAGUAGAUACUUCGAUUUUCCGGUCGCGCGAGAUUUUUUUUGGUUACCGGAACCGGUAGUAUUCGUGCGGCAGUAUUUAAGCCGAAAGCAGUGGUAAUUUCGUUCCAGUCUGGUUUUGUCUUCAAAAUCAGACACCAAAGGAUAAUCGGAGCCCUUUGUUUGUUCAAGGAUCGGAUAUCAGUUAAUUCUUUGGAUUUAUAUCAGUGCUUUUCUAUCGUCUUCAUGGAGUUCCAGCGUGUUGAGCAUAGGGGUAAGUUGACCAUCCAUAGUUUUUUUAUUAUUCUAAUAAGCAUAGUUAUUUAAGUCAUCCCAAGUACCUUAAUAUCUAAUCUAACUAUUUUUGUUCAUAUUAUCGCAAUAAGUGUUCCACUUUUUUAGUAAAAACGGACCCACUGCAUCAGGUAUCUUGGCUAGAAAACGAAACUAGCCGCCAUUACUAACCGGAAAUGAUAGAUUCAAUGGUUAUCAAUGGCUGCAUAGCUUUUUUGUUAGAUCGAUUUUUUUAAAAUCCAUCAUCAAGAACAGUUUUAUUUAGUCAUCCGUGAUUUUGAAUAUAAUGUGGGCGUGGCAGGCCUUGAUGUCGAUGUUGUUGACAAUAAGUUUUGAAGGCAUAUGUCCGAGGUGAAGAACUUUUGUAGGAAGAUUACCCGCAGCUGGCACCUAUUUGCACCUUACUUGGAUAAAAAAAUUUCUAUCGAUGCUGCUGGCAAAAAGACACCUAUCCAAGACAGCACUGAACGACCUAGUAUGGUGAAGAAGUUGCGACCUGAAGGUGAUGUUGAGGCUACUGAAAGGCAGGUAACACAGAACAACACUGUGCUUGUUGUUGCAGAAAAGCGGUUAGUCUUUUAAGGGCUUUUUGGCAAGAUGUUGACUGGACCGUGGAUGACACUGAUCUACAAAAUGAAAGAUGAAACAUUUUAAAGAUACCAUUUAUGCAGCUAUUAUAUUUAUUCUCUUGUUUUCUAGAUCUCUCAUGUGAAAGUCUGCAUUGACAAACUAAAGGCCAUUGUGGAUUCUCCAGAGAAUCUCCUUUCAAUACUAAUUGAUUGCUUUGGCCAGACUCUGGAUACUGAAGAUCUCGUUCUGAAAACCCUGAGAAAUGUGACUGUUGAUGAAGUAUUUAUCGAGAUCACUAAAGAACUUGCUGAAGGUUUUUGUAAGGUGCUACAGAGACAGUACUUCAAUUGAUAAUUUCCAACUACAAACAAAUCCAUUAUGUGCUUACCCAUCAAAUAGUUAGAUAUAUUUUAUUUUAAGGGAACAUGUUGCAUAUCUGGGAUAUUUAUUUAAUGUGAAAAAUAUAAUUUCACAAUCCAGCUGAUAAUUGUGCUAUGAACCAUUUAUAUUAAGUCUUGAUAAUUUUACCUUUUCAGCAAGCCUACAUUGGUAUGCAUUAAAAUUAUUUAUUCUAUUUCAGCAAAACAGAUAGGGUACACCCAAACAAUGUUCAUCUUCAAACAAUCAUGCAUGAUCCUCGCAAGCUUUGGAUACUGACGUACAUUUGCAAACGCACUCAGACUGAUGACAUCAAGAAAUCUAUAUUUGUUAUUUACAUUAUAU
Biomphalaria glabrata is the source of this 1564-nucleotide long non-coding RNA. RefSeq lists it as uncharacterized. The record is from RefSeq and is a predicted model, not a curated record. The transcript is spliced from 3 exons. NCBI's taxonomy places the organism in Eukaryota, Metazoa, Mollusca, Gastropoda, Planorbidae.